AAAUUGAAGAGUUUGAUCAUGGCUCAGAUUGAACGCUGGCGGCAGGCCUAACACAUGCAAGUCGAGCGGAAACGAGUUAUCAGAACCUUCGGGGAACGAUAACGGCGUCGAGCGGCGGACGGGUGAGUAAUGCCUAGGAAAUUGCCCUGAUGUGGGGGAUAACCAUUGGAAACGAUGGCUAAUACCGCAUGAUGCCUACGGGCCAAAGAGGGGGACCUUCGGGCCUCUCGCGUCAGGAUAUGCCUAGGUGGGAUUAGCUAGUUGGUGAGGUAAGGGCUCACCAAGGCGACGAUCCCUAGCUGGUCUGAGAGGAUGAUCAGCCACACUGGAACUGAGACACGGUCCAGACUCCUACGGGAGGCAGCAGUGGGGAAUAUUGCACAAUGGGCGCAAGCCUGAUGCAGCCAUGCCGCGUGUGUGAAGAAGGCCUUCGGGUUGUAAAGCACUUUCAGUCGUGAGGAAGGUAGUGUAGUUAAUAGCUGCAUUAUUUGACGUUAGCGACAGAAGAAGCACCGGCUAACUCCGUGCCAGCAGCCGCGGUAAUACGGAGGGUGCGAGCGUUAAUCGGAAUUACUGGGCGUAAAGCGCAUGCAGGUGGUUUGUUAAGUCAGAUGUGAAAGCCCGGGGCUCAACCUCGGAAUUGCAUUUGAAACUGGCAGACUAGAGUACUGUAGAGGGGGUAGAAUUUCAGGUGUAGCGGUGAAAUGCGUAGAGAUCUGAAGGAAUACCGGUGGCGAAGGCGGCCCCCUGGACAGAUACUGACACUCAGAUGCGAAAGCGUGGGGAGCAAACAGGAUUAGAUACCCUGGUAGUCCACGCCGUAAACGAUGUCUACUUGGAGGUUGUGGCCUUGAGCCGUGGCUUUCGGAGCUAACGCGUUAAGUAGACCGCCUGGGGAGUACGGUCGCAAGAUUAAAACUCAAAUGAAUUGACGGGGGCCCGCACAAGCGGUGGAGCAUGUGGUUUAAUUCGAUGCAACGCGAAGAACCUUACCUACUCUUGACAUCCAGAGAACUUUCCAGAGAUGGAUUGGUGCCUUCGGGAACUCUGAGACAGGUGCUGCAUGGCUGUCGUCAGCUCGUGUUGUGAAAUGUUGGGUUAAGUCCCGCAACGAGCGCAACCCUUAUCCUUGUUUGCCAGCGAGUAAUGUCGGGAACUCCAGGGAGACUGCCGGUGAUAAACCGGAGGAAGGUGGGGACGACGUCAAGUCAUCAUGGCCCUUACGAGUAGGGCUACACACGUGCUACAAUGGCGCAUACAGAGGGCAGCCAACUUGCGAAAGUGAGCGAAUCCCAAAAAGUGCGUCGUAGUCCGGAUUGGAGUCUGCAACUCGACUCCAUGAAGUCGGAAUCGCUAGUAAUCGUGGAUCAGAAUGCCACGGUGAAUACGUUCCCGGGCCUUGUACACACCGCCCGUCACACCAUGGGAGUGGGCUGCAAAAGAAGUAGGUAGUUUAACCUUCGGGGGGACGCUUACCACUUUGUGGUUCAUGACUGGGGUGAAGUCGUAACAAGGUAGCGCUAGGGGAACCUGGCGCUGGAUCACCUCCUUA
This 1552-nucleotide ribosomal RNA is filed under the name Vibrio parahaemolyticus. RNAcentral describes it as "bacterial SSU rRNA". It matches the Rfam family "Bacterial small subunit ribosomal RNA". Lineage: Bacteria; Pseudomonadati; Pseudomonadota; Gammaproteobacteria; Vibrionales; Vibrionaceae. The record is from RNAcentral.